GACGAACGCUGGCGGCGUGCUUAACACAUGCAAGUCGAACGAUGAAGCCUUUCGGGGUGGAUUAGUGGCGAACGGGUGAGUAACACGUGGGCAAUCUGCCCUUCACUCUGGGACAAGCCCUGGAAACGGGGUCUAAUACCGGAUAACACUCUUCCCUGCAUGGGGAGGGUAAAGCGUACCGCGUGAGGAUGAGCCGCGGCCUAUCAGCUUGUCGGUGGGGUAAUGGCCUACCAAGGCGACGACGGGUAGCCGGCCUGAGAGGGCGACCGGCCACA
RNAcentral lists this ribosomal RNA (275 nucleotides) under uncultured bacterium. RNAcentral's name for it is "partial 16S ribosomal RNA". It matches the Rfam family "Bacterial small subunit ribosomal RNA", at positions 28 to 312 of the family's 1533-position model. The record is from RNAcentral.